GUAUUGUAUUGCGUUAAACGCGGCGCACAUUCCAUAAGACUUUGCUGCGGUGUGUGUGUAAAGACGUAGAGCUACAGGAGAGAGGAGACGACAUGUCCCCCCCCCAAGACCAUAGAACUACAGAGAGUGCACAGGUGUGAGUGGAUGCGUAAACAGAGCGUGCACAUGCCCCCCGUUUGAGGGACCAGCGACAACUCAUGUCGACAACUCAGUAAUGAUCCUUCCGCAGGUUCACCUACGGAAA
RNAcentral lists this unclassified non-coding RNA (244 nucleotides) under uncultured fungus. RNAcentral describes it as "sequence contains ITS1". Lineage: Eukaryota; Fungi. The record is from RNAcentral.